RNAcentral lists this ribosomal RNA (443 nucleotides) under uncultured bacterium. RNAcentral describes it as "partial 16S ribosomal RNA". It matches the Rfam family "Bacterial small subunit ribosomal RNA", at positions 338 to 795 of the family's 1533-position model. The record is from RNAcentral.
CCUACGGGAGGCAGCAGUGGGGAAUAUUGGGCAAUGGGCGCAAGCCUGACCCAGCAACGCCGCGUGAAGGAAGAAGGCUUUCGGGUUGUAAACUUCUGUUAUGAGGGACGAAGAAAGUGACGGUACCUCAGGAAUAAGCCACGGCUAACUACGUGCCAGCAGCCGCGGUAAUACGUAGGGGGCAAGCGUUAUCCGGAUUGAGUGGGUGUAAAGGGCGUGUAGGCGGGAAAGCAAGUCAGAUGUGAAAGCUCAGGGCUCAACCCUGGGCCUGCAUUUGAAACUGGUUUUCUGGAGUGCUGGAGAGGCGAGCGGAAUUCCGGGUGUAGCAGUGAAAUGCGUAGAUAUACGGAGGAACAGCAGUGGCGAAGGCGGAUUGCUGGACAGUAACUGACGCUGAGGCGCGAAAGCGUGGGGAGCAAACAGGAUUAGAUACCCUAGUAGUC